AUACUCACCUGGCAGGAGAGAUACCAUGAUCACGAAGGUGGCUUUCCCAGGACGAGGCUUAUCCAUUGCACUCUGGAUGUGCUGACCCCUGCGAUUUUCCCAAAUGUGGGAAAUUCGACUGCAGAAUUUGUGGUAGUGGGGGACUGCGUUCACGCUUUCUCCUA
RNAcentral lists this small nuclear RNA (164 nucleotides) under Aotus nancymaae (Ma's night monkey). Its description in RNAcentral is "U1 spliceosomal RNA (ENSANAG00000030999.1)". It matches the Rfam family "U1 spliceosomal RNA". Rfam says of the family: U1 is a small nuclear RNA (snRNA) component of the spliceosome (involved in pre-mRNA splicing). The record is from Rfam by way of RNAcentral. Lineage: Eukaryota; Metazoa; Chordata; Mammalia; Primates; Aotidae.